CUCUAUAGGAGUUCCAAUCAUAAGAAGACAUAUAAUACGAAUACUCAUCUUCCUAGCAAUGCAAAGUAUAAAUAUGAGCUUCUGCUUUAUAAUACAACUUGCACUAUCCGCAUGUCUGCUUUGAUUCUGGUUAAUUGCUAGAUCUUUGAUGCUCACAUAAUUCCACAAUAUUCUCAUACUCUGACUUCUAAAAUAAGGACUUUAAGAAGAAGAUGAGCUCCGUGA
This 225-nucleotide long non-coding RNA is filed under the name Elaeis guineensis (African oil palm). RNAcentral's name for it is "long non-coding RNA (EGUI_LNC049728)". The record is from RNAcentral. Lineage: Eukaryota; Viridiplantae; Streptophyta; Magnoliopsida; Arecales; Arecaceae.